AUUGAACGCUGGCGGCAUGCUUUACACAUGCGAGUCGAACGGUAACAGGCCUUCGGGUGCUGACGAGUGGCGGACGGGUGGGUAAUGCAUCGGAACGUGCCCAGAGGUGGGGGAUAACGCAGCGAAAGCUGUGCUAAUACCGCAUGUGAUCUGAGGAUGAAAGCGGGGGACCAGGCAGCAAUGUUUGGCCUCGCGCCUUUGGAGCGGCCGAUGACGGAUUAGGUAGUUGGUGGGGUAAAGGCCUACCAAGCCGAGGAUCUGUAGCUGGUCUGAGAGGACGACCAGCCACACUGGGACUGAGACACGGCCCAGACUCCUACGGGAGGCAGCAGUGGGGAAUCUUGGACAAUGGGCGCAAGCCUGAUCCAGCAAUGCCGCGUGCGGGAAGAAGGCCUUCGGGUUGUAAACCGCUUUUGUACGGAACGAAAAGGCUCUGGCUAAUACCUGGGGCUGAUGACGGUACCGUAAGAAUAAGCACCGGCUAACUACGUG
RNAcentral lists this ribosomal RNA (492 nucleotides) under uncultured bacterium. Its description in RNAcentral is "partial 16S ribosomal RNA". It matches the Rfam family "Bacterial small subunit ribosomal RNA", at positions 29 to 507 of the family's 1533-position model. The record is from RNAcentral.